This 201-nucleotide long non-coding RNA is filed under the name Elaeis guineensis (African oil palm). Its description in RNAcentral is "long non-coding RNA (EGUI_LNC022639)". The record is from RNAcentral. Lineage: Eukaryota; Viridiplantae; Streptophyta; Magnoliopsida; Arecales; Arecaceae.
GGGCAUCUUGAAGACAAUUUCAGUCAGACUUGGGCCUAAAACAGAAUCAUAAUAAACUUUUGACCAAGGUUGAUAUUUGGCCUUGGGCCAUGGCUCCAACUUGAAGCAUGAUCCUGGAACUUGGCUCGAUGUUGAGUUGAAUUCAUUAUUAGGAUUUUUUGCUGGGGCUCUUUUGAGUUAGGCCAAGCAUUUUGGGUUUUG